GGGGAAUAUUGGACAAUGGGCGAAAGCCUGAUCCAGCAAUGCCGCGUGUGUGAAGAAGGCCUGCGGGUUGUAAAGCACUUUUAUCAGGAAAGAAAAUCACAGGGCUAAUAUCUCUGUGCCUUGACGGUACCUGAUGAAUAAGCUCCGGCUAACUCCAUGCCAGCAGCCGCGGUAAUACGGAGGGAGCUAGCGUUGUUCGGAAUUACUGGGCGUAAAGCGCACGUAGGCGGCUUUGUAAGUUAGAGGUGAAAGCCCGGAGCUCAACUCCGGAAUUGCCUUUAAGACUGCAUCGCUUGAAUCCAGGAGAGGUGAGUGGAAUUCCGAGUGUAGAGGUGAAAUUCGUAGAUAUUCGGAAGAACACCAGUGGCGAAGGCGGCUCACUGGACUGGUAUUGACGCUGAGGUGCGAAAGCGUGGGGAGCAA
RNAcentral lists this ribosomal RNA (423 nucleotides) under uncultured bacterium. RNAcentral describes it as "bacterial SSU rRNA". It matches the Rfam family "Bacterial small subunit ribosomal RNA", at positions 356 to 771 of the family's 1533-position model. The record is from RNAcentral.